GAUGAAGAACGUAGCGAAAUGCGAUAAGUAAUGUGAAUUGCAGAAUUCAGUGAAUCAUCGAAUCUUUGAACGCACAUUGCGCCCGCCAGUAUUCUGGCGGGCAUGCCUGUUCGAGCGUCAUUUCAACCAUCAAGCCCCAGGCUUGUGUUGGGGACCUGCGGCCGCCGCAGGCCCUGAAAACCAGUGGCGGGCUCGCUGUCACACCGGGCGUAGUAGAUUUUAUCUCGCUCAGGGCGUGCUGCGGGUUCCGGCCGUUAAAAAGCCUUUUUUACCCAAGGUUGACCUCGGAUCAGGUAGGAAGACCCGCUGAACUUAAGCAUAUCAAUAAGCGGAGGA
RNAcentral lists this unclassified non-coding RNA (336 nucleotides) under soil metagenome. Its description in RNAcentral is "partial contains 5.8S ribosomal RNA, internal transcribed spacer 2, and large subunit ribosomal RNA". The stretch from base 1 to 120 matches the Rfam family "5.8S ribosomal RNA", at positions 35 to 154 of the family's 154-position model. The record is from RNAcentral.